Molecule: microRNA precursor, 64 nt
Organism: Bos indicus x Bos taurus (hybrid cattle)
Lineage: Eukaryota; Metazoa; Chordata; Mammalia; Artiodactyla; Bovidae
Source: Ensembl
GACCAGUGCGAGGCCUGUGGGAGAUGGCGUCAAAGAAAUGCCUCACAGGCCACCCACUUCUCAU